GGGSGGKGCAAGCGUUGUUCGGAAUUACUGGGCGUAAAGGGCUCGUAGGCGGCCAACUAAGKCAGACGUGAAAUCCCUCGGCUUAACCGGGGAACUGCGUCUGAUACUGGAUGGCUUGAGGUUGGGAGAGGGAUGCGGAAUUCCAGGUGUAGCGGUGAAAUGCGUAGAUAUCUGGAGGAACACCGGUGGCGAAGGCGGCAUCCUGGACCAAUUCUGACGCUGAGGAGCGAAAGCUAGGGGAGCAAACGGGAUUAGAUACCCCGGUAGUCCUARCCCUAAACGAUGAAUGCUUGGUGUGGCGGGUAUCGAUCCCUGCCGUGCCGAAGCUAACGCAUUAAGCAUUCCGCCUGGGGAGUACGGUCGCAAGGCUG
This 371-nucleotide ribosomal RNA is filed under the name uncultured bacterium. RNAcentral's name for it is "bacterial SSU rRNA". It matches the Rfam family "Bacterial small subunit ribosomal RNA", at positions 527 to 896 of the family's 1533-position model. The record is from RNAcentral.